GUUGUUUGGACCCGAAGCCGCCUGGCCAACCCGCRAGGGAAGUAAGCGUCUARGGUCUGGACAGUGACUGGGGUGAAGUCGUAACAAGGUAGCYGUAGGUGAACCUGCAGAAGGAUCA
RNAcentral lists this ribosomal RNA (118 nucleotides) under uncultured eukaryote. Its description in RNAcentral is "partial small subunit ribosomal RNA". The record is from RNAcentral.